AUUGAACGCUGGCGGCAGGCAUAACACAUGCAAGUCGAGCGGAAACGAGUUAUCUGAACCUUCGGGGAACGAUAACGGCGUCGAGCGGCGGACGGGUGAGUAAGCCUAGGAAAUUGCCCUGAUGUGGGGGAUAACCAUUGGAAACGAUGGCUAAUACCGCAUGAUGCCUACGGGCCAAAGAGGGGGACCUUCGGGCCUCUCGCGUCAGGAUAUGCCUAGGUGGGAUGAGCUAGUUGGUGAGGUAAGGGCUCACCAAGGCGACGAUCCCUAGCUGGUCUGAGAGGAUGAUCAGCCACACUGGAACUGAGACACGGUCCAGACUCCUACGGGAGGCAGCAGUGGGGAAUAUUGCACAAUGGGCGCAAGCCUGAUGCAGCCAUGCCGCGUGUAUGAAGAAGGCCUUCGGGUUGUAAAGUACUUUCAGUCGUGAGGAAGGCGGCGUCGUUAAUAGCGGCGUUGUUUGACGUUAGCGACAGAAGAAGCACCGGCUAACUCCGUGCCAGCAGCCGCGGUAAUACGGAGGGUGCGAGCGUUAAUCGGAAUUACUGGGCGUAAAGCGCAUGCAGGUGGUUUGUUAAGUCAGAUGUGAAAGCCCGGGGCUCAACCUCGGAAUAGCAUUUGAAACUGGCAGACUAGAGUACUGUAGAGGGGGGUAGAAUUUCAGGUGUAGCGGUGAAAUGCGUAGAGAUCUGAAGGAAUACCGGUGGCGAAGGCGGCCCCCUGGACAGAUACUGACACUCAGAUGCGAAAGCGUGGGGAGCAAACAGG
RNAcentral lists this ribosomal RNA (768 nucleotides) under uncultured Pseudoalteromonadaceae bacterium. RNAcentral's name for it is "bacterial SSU rRNA". It matches the Rfam family "Bacterial small subunit ribosomal RNA", at positions 28 to 776 of the family's 1533-position model. Lineage: Bacteria; Pseudomonadati; Pseudomonadota; Gammaproteobacteria; Alteromonadales; Pseudoalteromonadaceae. The record is from RNAcentral.